Molecule: ribosomal RNA, 497 nt
Filed under: uncultured bacterium
Lineage: Bacteria
Description: partial 16S ribosomal RNA
Rfam family: Bacterial small subunit ribosomal RNA
Source: RNAcentral
GAUGAACGCUGGCGGCGUGCCUAAUACAUGCAAGUCGAGCGAACAGACGAGGAGCUUGCUCCUCUGACGUUAGCGGCGGACGGGUGAGUAACACGUGGAUAACCUACCUAUAAGACUGGGAUAACUUCGGGAAACCGGAGCUAAUACCGGAUAAUAUAUUGAACCGCAUGGUUCAAUAGUGAAAGACGGUUUUGCUGUCACUUAUAGAUGGAUCCGCGCCGCAUUAGCUAGUUGGUAAGGUAACGGCUUACCAAGGCAACGAUGCGUAGCCGACCUGAGAGGGUGAUCGGCGACACUGGAACUGAGACACGGUCCAGACGCCGACGGGAGGCAGCAGUAGGGAAUCUUCCGCAAGGGGCGAAAGCCUGACGGAGCAACGCCGCGUGAGUGAUGAAGGUCUUCGGAUCGUAAAACUCUGUUAUUAGGGAAGAACAAAUGUGUAAGUAACUAUGCACGUCUUGACGGUACCUAAUCAGAAAGCCACGGCUAACUACGUG